This is a small nucleolar RNA of Pristis pectinata (smalltooth sawfish), 71 nucleotides long. RefSeq annotates it as small nucleolar RNA SNORD59. The record is from RefSeq and is a predicted model, not a curated record. Lineage: Eukaryota; Metazoa; Chordata; Chondrichthyes; Rhinopristiformes; Pristidae. The transcript has a single exon.
GCCCAGUGAUGAUGGAAAAUUGACUUUCGUUCUCCUGAAUGUAAUGAAGCAAGAUGUAAUUAAUCUGAGGU